RNAcentral lists this ribosomal RNA (253 nucleotides) under uncultured bacterium. Its description in RNAcentral is "partial 16S ribosomal RNA". It matches the Rfam family "Bacterial small subunit ribosomal RNA", at positions 524 to 776 of the family's 1533-position model. The record is from RNAcentral.
UACGAAGGGGGCUAGCGUUGCUCGGAAUUACUGGGCGUAAAGGGCGCGUAGGCGGUUUGUCCAGUCAGGUGUGAAAUUCCCGGGCUCAACCUGGGGGCUGCACUUGAUACGUAUGGACUGGAGUGGGGAAGAGGGUCGUGGAAUUCCCAGUGUAGAGGUGAAAUUCGUAGAUAUUGGGAAGAACACCGGUGGCGAAGGCGGCGACCUGGUCCUUGACUGACGCUGAGGCGCGAAAGCGUGGGGAGCAAACAGG